GGCGGGUUUCGUGCCGGGAGGAAGCUGCCCAGCGAUGCUAAGCUGGCUUCGCUGGGCAGCUUCCUCCCGGAGCGGAGCCCGCC
This is a non-coding RNA of Podarcis lilfordi (Lilford's wall lizard), 83 nucleotides long. Lineage: Eukaryota; Metazoa; Chordata; Lepidosauria; Squamata; Lacertidae. The record is from the annotation of a GenBank genome assembly.